This 262-nucleotide ribosomal RNA is filed under the name uncultured bacterium. Its description in RNAcentral is "partial 16S ribosomal RNA". It matches the Rfam family "Bacterial small subunit ribosomal RNA", at positions 526 to 779 of the family's 1533-position model. The record is from RNAcentral.
CGUAGGGUGCAAGCGUUAAUCGGAAUUACUGGGCGUAAAGCGUGCGCAGGCGGUUUUGUAAGUCUGACGUGAAAAGCCCCCGGGCGUCAACCUGGGAAGUUGUCGUUGGAGACUGCAAGGCUUGAAUCUGGCGAGAGGGGGGUAGGAAUUCCACGUGUAGCAGUGAAAUAGCGUAGAGAUGUGGAGGAACACCGAUGGCGAAGGCAGCCCCCUCGGUCAAGAUUGACGCUCAUGCACGAAAGCGUGGGGAGCAAACAGGAUU